RNAcentral lists this ribosomal RNA (404 nucleotides) under uncultured Iamia sp. RNAcentral's name for it is "bacterial SSU rRNA". It matches the Rfam family "Bacterial small subunit ribosomal RNA", at positions 355 to 774 of the family's 1533-position model. Lineage: Bacteria; Bacillati; Actinomycetota; Acidimicrobiia; Acidimicrobiales; Iamiaceae. The record is from RNAcentral.
UGGGGAAUCUUGCGCAAUGGGCGAAAGCCUGACGCAGCAACGCCGCGUGCGGGAUGAAGGCCUUCGGGUUGUAAACCGCUUUCAGUGGGGACGAACCAAGACGGUACCCACAGAAGAAGCCCCGGCCAACUACGUGCCAGCAGCCGCGGUAACACGUAGGGGGCAAGCGUUGUCCGGAUUUAUUGGGCGUAAAGAGCUCGUAGGUGGUUCGAUAAGUCGAGUGUGAAAACUCCAGGCUCAACCUGGAGACGCCACCCGAUACUGUCGUGACUAGAGUCCAGUAGGGGAGCGUGGAAUUCCUGGUGUAGCGGUGAAAUGCGCAGAUAUCAGGAGGAACACCAGUGGCGAAGGCGGCGCUCUGGGCUGGCACUGACACUGAGGAGCGAAAGCGUGGGGAGCGAACA